ACCAGUGUGGUGUAGUGGUUUGAGCACUGGACUCUGACUCUGGAGAUCAGGGUUGAAUUCCCUGUUUGGCC
Molecule: non-coding RNA, 71 nt
Organism: Phrynosoma platyrhinos (Desert horned lizard)
Lineage: Eukaryota; Metazoa; Chordata; Lepidosauria; Squamata; Phrynosomatidae
Source: the annotation of a GenBank genome assembly